UGGCAGCGGCGCUCCUCGUGCUGCAAGACUAUGGCGAUUCUUCGGGAAAGAUUAUGUAAGCAGUUUAUCACAGAUGGAUCUGCAUUGGCCUACAGGCAACACAGAAAAGAAACAGGAUUUCAAACACAUCCUACAGCCCCCCCUAUUCUUUCUGCAGAAGAGAGCUUCAGCCCUAACUCAGGUACAGACUUUCUGGUGAGAAGGAACAGUGGAAGCCAUCACAUGCAAGUUGAGGUUCUGCAUUAAGACAAAACAACCCUGAAUGGAGCAAGUGUCACCACAAGAUGGAGCACAAAAUCUGGAGGACAUUUCUGCCGCCCCCAAAGUUCCCUGCUGAACACCCAUCCAAUCCCACGUGAAAUCAGCUAUAACCUAUGGGGCCAAAAACCCAGGCAACCUAAUACUGGGUCUCUACGCAACACGAGCAUGUGUAGCUAAUGCAGCAUCUGAGACAGAGCAAAUGCAGAGAUGCUGGCAAAAGCAGAGCUGCAUCCACCCUUCCUGACACGUCCCAAGCAUCAGCAACAAACUGCUCAGCAGUAAGCUCCAAAAUCUGAGUGCUUUCACUCAGCAGUCUUAAAAAUUAGAGAAACUAAAAGCAGCAACAAAAUUUUGGGUUUUUUAAGUAUAAGUGAAGUCCUAUCAAAAAGGCCAUGACAGGAGGGUGGUAAAGCCAAUUUACUGUGUUUAUUUGUCUGGACUUACAGGUGCCAGGAUGUCUCGUGAACUUUAAUAGAGACUCAAAAGCAUUUCCAAACAUAGGGAUUGAUUCUGUUUCCUCCUUAAAAUCAAAGAAACUGGCACCAUUAAUAUCAAUUAAAAUGCAGGCUAGAUUUCAUAUCACCUCUUGUCCAGAAAAAAAAGAAGAAAUGACUAAGCUGGAAGAGAAAAUGCUGAAGGAAUUUGAAGAAUUCUGAAUAUUCCUACAUAAAAGGCAGUCUGGCACACAGGAUUAACUGCUUGUGUUCUUGUAACUCCUGAAUCUCAUCUGAGUAAGAAUUUGCUGAGCUGUCCUAUGGAUUAAUUUACUAUAGUAAGAAACCUGGAGAAACCCAAACCAGAGAUUGUCAGGUCUCCCCAGUCACUGCCUUUGGUUUAUGGGAAAGGAGCUCCAUCUAGCUUCCUCCUAACUGCAAAAGGGUCCCAGAUUUAGACGCAAAGGAACUAGCAGAGAUGGCUGCCACGUCUAGAAGUUUCUAGACACUAGAAACUUCUGGUGUGCCUACUGGGGUGAUAAGACACACCCAAAAAGAUCCUACAAGGAGAAGCAAAGUCUUUAAAGCACUUUAUAACUUCCUUCAUUUACCCUGAUGCAUUUUUAUUUGGACAUACUGGAAAUGAAGAGACAUUUCAUGCAAAUAGGAUAAAACUGACUGGGAAGUGGAGAGAAUGUAUAAUAAUAUGUGGUGAAGAAAUGCAAAUACAAGUUUUUAACCUCAUUUACAGCACAUUUUGGAAGUUGUGCCUUUCAGACAAGAUUAACAAAAUAAAGGAAUCUGAUACUGUGAGACAACAUGCCAUGCUGUUAGGGCACCAACAAGUCUUAAUGGCCCUGACCCAUCCCAAUUGGGUCCCUCAGGCUCGUCCCUGGAGCCCCAUUUAAGCUCAGCCCAGGGCCUGUAGGUAUGCCUGCCUCCAGCCCCAUUUCAAGGAUGGGCCUUCAACCUAUGUUGUCAUUGGUAGCUUGUCUCCUGGAUGGACCUCUGGUUAAGAACAUUGCAUUCUUGUCCUCCAGCUCUUUCCCUGGUCCUGUUUCCUUUUUGCUCCUGGCUGGGGGACCCAUAUGAACCCUACGCCUGGUUCAUCACUUGCCUUGACUGGGGGUGUUGAUGUAGUUGCACAGCUUGGGGACGCCUGAAUUCUCUCUUCCAACACAGCUUAAACAUUUGAGGACUGAGUCUCGGUGACCCUACAUCACAUUUCUGGUAGACCCUAGACUGAGUUUCAAAAGUGGAACACGAGCAUCUUUUGAUGCUUGGAGCCAGCUCCUCACUUGGAUUAAAGCAGUCUGGUCCAAAUAUCAAGCAGCAGAUGCUAACAAUCUGUUUCCAUCUCUAAUUAUAGAGAGAACGAUAAAAUCGGCAAGCAGAUUUUUUUUCCUGAAAAAGUGAGUGACUUAGUAAAUGUGAUGAAAAAUGAGACCAAAGCAGUUCAGUGCAAGAGAAAUCAGAGUUAAAAUUCAGAAAUUACCAAAGCCCACUUCAUUCUUACAGUCCAUCUUGUGACUUUGUCCACAAGAAGAUUUUAGACCUCUUUCAACUUCCUGCCUGUUCUAAGCAAGCCUUGUGAAUGACCUUUAGCACCAGUAAGAGUUAAAAGCCAAACAAGGCUAAUGAGGCUUCUAGACUUUGUGAAGGUUUUGGGUUUUUUCAACUGCCAUACUAAUUAGAGGUGCUAAAAAGCUAACUUGCAAUAACUACUAUAAUGAGAAACAGCUUUUUGAGCUGGACUGCUUAGUGUUACUUCUCUUUACCCACACUAGAGCAACCAGAAAGGGGCCUCUGCGAAUCACUGACACAGCUCCCUCAGUUUGCCACUCACCGUAUUUAUCUGGAAGUAGAAGACAGCUUUGCGCAUCAGGAAGUAAAAACAGGAUCAAAACCCAACACACACAUUCUGAAUUCUGUUUCCUAAGCCAUGCAGUUUGUAAAGAAUGCAGGUCCCCAGAGUGGACCUCAUACCAUACCUGCCCCAGGGCAUGCUGAAGCAAUGUGGGAUGGCCAACAAAGCGAACAUUAUCAAUCUUCAGUUCAAACUUUUUGCCACACAUAUCUGACUUGGUAGCCAAAAUUGUUGCCAGAAUGACAUCCGAAAACCUUGAAGA
Long non-coding RNA from Pezoporus occidentalis (night parrot), 2824 nucleotides. RefSeq lists it as uncharacterized. The transcript is spliced from 2 exons. The record is from RefSeq and is a predicted model, not a curated record. Lineage: Eukaryota; Metazoa; Chordata; Aves; Psittaciformes; Psittacidae.